Sinocyclocheilus grahami is the source of this 504-nucleotide long non-coding RNA. RefSeq lists it as uncharacterized. NCBI's taxonomy places the organism in Eukaryota, Metazoa, Chordata, Actinopteri, Cypriniformes, Cyprinidae. The transcript is spliced from 3 exons. The record is from RefSeq and is a predicted model, not a curated record.
GCGAGGCGGUUACGCUAUUCAAGAACAUUAAAGUGCGCCGGAUUUGCGCAUACUCCGCUAGAAGCGUCAACGCUGCGCGCCGUAAACGCACAGGAUGUAGUUUCUUUUGUGUCAUCUCCUGCACGCCGUACGGAGCGAAAGUACAUGUGAUUUGACCGAGUACUACAUUAAACAGACUUGUCCUGUUUGGAGAAACUAUGGGCUGGUGAUCCAGGGACUUUGAUAUCAUGGACAGUGACUGCUUAUCUUUGCUACCAGAGGUCUGCCUGGUCCUGGCCGACCCCCAGCAGUCUCCACCCGAUGACACCUCUUUAGAGAAGCUGCUUGAUUGGUUCAAAGAGCUGCAUAUCCAAAGUAAUGGACAGGUGCUUUUGCAGCAUCAGCCGUGUCUCUUGGAGUUUAUUUCUAGUGUUUGUACGUCUAAAACUACAGAUCCUGCUAUCAUUUCUUUCACCCUCAAACUCACUGGACUUCUGGCUGCCACCAAACAGGGCUUCCAUUUGC